UUAACUUUAUCUACAGUCUAUUUUUUAUAAAUGCUAGUGAUUAAACGAUUUCAUUGAUACGGGAGUGUGGUGCUAGUUAUGAAGAUAAAUAAAAUUAUCGAAUAUAUUGUAGUAGCAAUCAUCGUUUUGGGGUGGACUUACUUCAUUGUCAUUAAAGAAAUUCUCCCUAAAAAUAUAGGAUUUAUUUCAUUAGUAAUUCUAUCAAUAGUUCUUUAUUUUGUAGGUAAAUGGUUGAAUGGAAAACAUAGCACAUAAAA
Molecule: small RNA, 257 nt
Organism: Listeria monocytogenes EGD-e
Lineage: Bacteria; Bacillati; Bacillota; Bacilli; Caryophanales; Listeriaceae
Rfam family: Listeria sRNA rli37
Source: Rfam